This 780-nucleotide long non-coding RNA is filed under the name Rattus norvegicus (Norway rat). Its description in RNAcentral is "long non-coding RNA NONRATT029204". Lineage: Eukaryota; Metazoa; Chordata; Mammalia; Rodentia; Muridae. The record is from RNAcentral.
UUGAAUGUUUUGUUUUUAUUCUUAGUUUGGGCAAGACAAGGCUGGAAUUCUUCAAAGGAAUUCCACUAGUACAUUGGGGGUUUUAUAUAAAUAGAUUGAUGGAAGCCAUAGAAACCCACUGGAGUUAGCCUAAGCAAACAAGACUGUGCAGCGAGAAUACAUCGAUGAAUCAGAGUCCAGAGCAAGAACACAGGUCUUAGGAGCAGGCUGAACCAGGCCUCAACUUGCAGCACGCUUGGCCCUCCUCUGUGCAUGUUCGCCCCAUGCUGUCUGUGGACUCCAAGCCAAGAAGUGUGAAGGACGAAGCUUCCUGAGACCUGAUCCCCCCACUCUCAGAGAGACCAUAGACCUGCCUGGUGCCCGCUGGCAGACAGGUCAACCCGAGCAUAGUGUCUGCAUCACGGGCAAAGCCAGCAAGAUCCCUGAGCGUUUGUAAAUCUUCUUCUUGGGACAGGAAAUAGCUCUGCGAAUGUGCAUUGCUACUAAGAACGAAGGGAGAACAGAAUGUUUUAAAUUGCAGAUCUAUCUCAGGAAAGGGCGUUUUGCAGAGCACUGCCUUCUGCCCACUGUGUUGGGAAAUGUAGCCCGGCCCAGUUCCCCCAAAGACAGGAGCCCUUCCCCCCAAUACCUGCCUCAGCAUACCUCAGGAGUUCGUAGGUACCUUACGCUUCUCCCUGGCAGGUCUGUCUCCCUCACAGGUCACACAGUUGAGAAUAAAGCUCACAGCUGUCCUGGGGUGGGUGCAGGCAGGCAGGCACGGGGGUGCACAAUGUGGGAUGG